This 214-nucleotide unclassified non-coding RNA is filed under the name Hevea brasiliensis (rubber tree). The record is from RNAcentral. Lineage: Eukaryota; Viridiplantae; Streptophyta; Magnoliopsida; Malpighiales; Euphorbiaceae.
CAAGAAUGAAAACCAGAAACCUCUCCAAAUAUGCAUCGGCGACUAUAACAUGGCUGUUUCUGCUAUUAUAAUGGCAGACAACGACUUGAAUUCUGAGACCUUCUUUGAGUUGGCUGAUUUGGCCAACAAAGCUGCUGCCGCUGCUGAUGAUUGCGAGGCUGCCUUUAAAGGAAACCAGUCGCGACCAUUGGGAAACAAGAAUAAGGAUUUAAAG